Molecule: ribosomal RNA, 484 nt
Filed under: uncultured bacterium
Lineage: Bacteria
Description: partial 16S ribosomal RNA
Rfam family: Bacterial small subunit ribosomal RNA
Source: RNAcentral
AUUGAACGCUGGCGGCAGGCCUAACACAUGCAAGUCGAGCGGAUGAAGGGAGCUUGCUCCUGGAUUCAGCGGCGGACGGGUGAGUAAUGCCUAGGAAUCUGCCUGGUAGUGGGGGAUAACGUCCGGAAACGGGCGCUAAUACCGCAUACGUCCUGAGGGAGAAAGUGGGGGAUCUUCGGACCUCACGCUAUCAGAUGAGCCUAGGUCGGAUUAGCUAGUUGGUGGGGUAAAGGCCUACCAAGGCGACGAUCCGUAACUGGUCUGAGAGGAUGAUCAGUCACACUGGAACUGAGACACGGUCCAGACUCCUACGGGAGGCAGCAGUGGGGAAUAUUGGACAAUGGGCGAAAGCCUGAUCCAGCCAUGCCGCGUGUGUGAAGAAGGUCUUCGGAUUGUAAAGCACUUUAAGUUGGGAGGAAGGGAAGUAAGUUAAUACCUUGCUGUUUUGACGGUACCAACAGAAUAAGCACCGGCUAACUUCGUG